This 468-nucleotide ribosomal RNA is filed under the name uncultured Dyella sp. Its description in RNAcentral is "bacterial SSU rRNA". It matches the Rfam family "Bacterial small subunit ribosomal RNA", at positions 337 to 797 of the family's 1533-position model. The record is from RNAcentral. Lineage: Bacteria; Pseudomonadati; Pseudomonadota; Gammaproteobacteria; Lysobacterales; Rhodanobacteraceae.
UCCUACGGGUGGCUGCAGUGGGGAAUAUUGGACAAUGGGCGCAAGCCUGAUCCAGCAAUGCCGCGUGUGUGAAGAAGGCCUUCGGGUUGUAAAGCACUUUUAUCAGGAGCGAAAUACUACCGGCUAAUAUCCGGUGGGGCUGACGGUACCUGAGGAAUAAGCACCGGCUAACUUCGUGCCAGCAGCCGCGGUAAUACGAAGGGUGCAAGCGUUAAUCGGAAUUACUGGGCGUAAAGCGUGCGUAGGCGGUUUGUUAAGUCUGCUGUGAAAUCCCCGGGCUCAACCUGGGAAUGGCAGUGGAUACUGGCAAGCUAGAGUGUGUCAGAGGAUGGUGGAAUUCCCGGUGUAGCGGUGAAAUGCGUAGAGAUCGGGAGGAACAUCAGUGGCGAAGGCGGCCAUCUGGGACAACACUGACGCUGAGGCACGAAAGCGUGGGGAGCAAACAGGAUUAGAUACCCUAGUAGUCGU